This 900-nucleotide long non-coding RNA is filed under the name Piliocolobus tephrosceles (Ugandan red Colobus). RNAcentral's name for it is "lncRNA (ENSPTEG00000012786.1)". Lineage: Eukaryota; Metazoa; Chordata; Mammalia; Primates; Cercopithecidae. The record is from RNAcentral.
UAUAAAAAUAAUAAAAAUAAAAAUAAAUAUAAAAACAAAAAAAAUGAUAAAAAAAAAAAAAAAUCGAAAUUAAAAUAUGAAUCAGCACAUUCAUCUAGUAAUAGUAGUGAAACAAAAAAGAAAAGAAAAGAAAAAAAAAAAUUAAAAAAAAAAAGAUAUUAUUUAAAUAGUGAUGACAAAGAUGAUAAAUUAUAUUUUAAAAAUGUCUCAGAUUCAAAAAAAAAACAUUCUUAUAAUACAGAAAAAUGUAGAAAAAUUCACAGAGGUGUUAAUAGUAGUAGUUAUAGUAACAGUAGCUAUAGUAAAAGUAGUAAUAGUAGCAGCUAUAAUAGUUGUAGCAGUAACAGUGACCAUAUUAGUAGUAACAACAGUAGUAGCAGUAGUAGCAGUAGUAGUAGUAAUAGUAGUAGUAGUAGUAAUAGUAGUAGUAAUAGUAGUAGUAAUAGUAGUAGUAAUAGUAGUAGUGUUAAGUAUUAUAAAAAAAAAAAAAAAAAAAAAUCAAAAUCAAAAUAUAUUAUAUAUGACUCUAACAGAACAGUAAACGAAAUUAAUACAUCACUGUUAGAUAAUAAUCAUGAAAUAGAUAUAUAUUCAUCCGAUGAACGUAAUUCUAUGCAUAAAAAAAAAUUACUUUAUUAACAAAUCAUGCUGCUCUAGAUAUAAAAGAUAACUUUUCUGACUACAGCUACUCAUCAAUAUCAACCGAACACACAUCUUCCAGUUACGAAAAUCAAUUUUUUGAUCAUUAUUAUAAUGUUGUAGAUAAUAAGAAUGUUGACUUAUGUGAUAAUAUUUAUGUUUUUGAAAAAAAAAAAAAAGAAAUUACGUAAUUAUAUUGAACAAAUAGAAGACCCUUUAUGGGUACCCCAAGGAAGUUGUAAAAGGUAGCAAAUCUGUGUA